UACGAAGGGGGCUAGCGUUACUCGGAUUGACUGGGCGUAAAGGGCGCGUAGGCGGUUCGUACAGUCAGACGUGAAAUUCCUGGGCUCAACCUGGGGGCUGCGUUUGAUACGUGCGGGCUUGAGUUCGGAAGAGGGUCGUGGAAUUCCCAGUGUAGAGGUGAAAUUCGUAGAUAUUGGGAAGAACACCGGUGGCGAAGGCGGCCUUCUGGACAGUGACUGACGCUGAGACGCGAAAGCGUGGGGAGCAAACAGG
RNAcentral lists this ribosomal RNA (253 nucleotides) under uncultured bacterium. Its description in RNAcentral is "partial 16S ribosomal RNA". It matches the Rfam family "Bacterial small subunit ribosomal RNA", at positions 524 to 776 of the family's 1533-position model. The record is from RNAcentral.